UAUAUAUUUAUAGAAUUGAGCUCAUAUGCUUUAAAAGUACCAAAUUAUUGGUAUUUGUAGAUUUUUGACUAUUGGAUUAAGAGAUGUGUGGUUAAGAUGAUGUGGGACUCCUAGGGUUACGUGGUUGGUUGGUUGAAUAGUAUGAUCUAACGGGUGGAAAUGAUUAAAAUGGUAGAUCUAACGAUAAAAAAUUUACAAGCACCAAGUGCUUGGUACUUUUAUAAGCAUAUAGUCAGCUAUAU
RNAcentral lists this long non-coding RNA (242 nucleotides) under Ananas comosus (pineapple). Its description in RNAcentral is "long non-coding RNA (ACOM_LNC040467)". Lineage: Eukaryota; Viridiplantae; Streptophyta; Magnoliopsida; Poales; Bromeliaceae. The record is from RNAcentral.